Long non-coding RNA from Homo sapiens (human), 1066 nucleotides. RefSeq lists it as uncharacterized. The record is from RefSeq and is a predicted model, not a curated record. The transcript has 2 exons. NCBI's taxonomy places the organism in Eukaryota, Metazoa, Chordata, Mammalia, Primates, Hominidae.
UUCCUCCCUUCCCCUUCUCACUCUCUCUCUCCUUCUCACUCUCUCUCUCUUUCUCUCUCUCUCUUCCUUCCUUGUUUUCUUACCUAACCCACAUUCCCAGAAAAUGAUGUGAAUAAAGACAAGUGUUGGACCUCAAUGUGUCAAAGUUAAACUACAACUAGGAUCUGCCUUCUGAGGUAUGGCAAGAAACAAAUUGGUUAAUGUUUGCAAAAUGCCAGGACAUUCUUGAAUAAAAGGCCCUAUAUAAGUUCAAAGUAUUUACAAUUAUUAUGAUUAUUAUUAUAAUUUAUGAGAUGUCAUAAAUCUCUCCAAAAUAGGAUGAGAUGAACACUUUUAACAAGAGAACAGGACUCUAUAUAAAUCGCUGUGGGCUCACCACCUCUAAGGAGGAGCACUGACUGAAGACAGGAAAUGAAACCAAUUUCUACAACAUAGGAAUGAUUUCGGCAUGUCUAGGAGAGUCAGAGAAAAGACGGGAGGGAAAUGGGGGAGAAAGAAAAACGUGAGAGAACCUUCUACUUCCUGAAAGGCACCAUGACUCUGGAAUGGUAAGUGCACAAUUUUACCUGUUACUUUUGCAAAUCAAGAAAAGGCAAAAAAGACAAGAUGAUAUGCUCUGAUUUGUGGAAUUAGAUAAAUUAUUUGUCUGAAGAAGUGGACAAAGAAAUGGAAGUUGGAUUUUAGAUUGUUUUCAAACUAAAACUGUUCUUCAUAGCAAGCAAUGUAAGCUAGGCAUAGAAACCUUUUUCUAUUCAUCAGCCUCUAUAAGUAAAACAGAAAUAUCCAUGUUAAAAAUCUAGUAUUUUAAAAUAUAACUUUCUUUGCAAGAGUCUGCUUUUAAUUUUUAUUUUAUCAAAGAGAAUCACUUAAGUCAGAAUUCAUUUGAGCAAUCUGGCUUAAAUUGGGGAAUAGUCAACACUGGAUUGCCAUUUUAAGUUUCCAGAUUAAUACAAAAUUAGUGUCAAUAGUAUACGUUAAGCUGAAAACUUUUAUAGUCAGGAGUACGGUGAGACUCAGUUUUACCUAUUAAAUCAGUUUAAUCUGUAAAUCUGAUUUUGCCGUAAAA